AUCUCACCACAAUUGCAGGGCACAAGAGUUACGAGUAUAUAAAAAACAUGGAAUCUUUAUUUUGGAGGGAUUCACAAAACAAUUUUGAGUUCCAUUGGUUGGGGCAAUGGGAAUAUCGGUGCACAUGUUCGUAAUUGUAAGGGGGCUAAAAUGAGUUUAGACAGUACUGAUUGACUCAAAGUUCGCCAUUGAAUCAUACUCGAUCAAUAUGGAAUUUGAGAGUUGGGCCAAAUGCGGAUGUCUAUAUGUGGAGCCCAAGAAAGGCGGAAUUGAGGUCGAUCGUCUUGGAAGUUGUCAGGAAGAAGCAAAUUUCACGAGGAGUCAUCUCCAAUUAGAGAAGAUUCACUUCCUAGUUGAGAUAAUGAGGGACGUGGAGAUCAAGCAAUAGAGUGG
This 393-nucleotide long non-coding RNA is filed under the name Actinidia chinensis (golden kiwifruit). RNAcentral describes it as "long non-coding RNA (ACHI_LNC005965)". The record is from RNAcentral. Lineage: Eukaryota; Viridiplantae; Streptophyta; Magnoliopsida; Ericales; Actinidiaceae.